UAACUGGCUCUAAAGUUAAACAACACAAAGAGGAGCAGGAUCCUAACUCAGUGAACUGCGUAGUACUGUACAGUUCUCUGAUAGGGUAGUGGGAUAUGGUGAAAUGGUGGAUCCUCAGGUUGUGUAUUCUACAGUAAGACCCUAACAGUGUAUUGGAGCAGAACAAGGUUAUACACUGUUCCUACACUGUUUGGAGCAGCUUUAUAUACAUUAUUAACACAGUAGUUCAUGAAUAGUAAUCACACAUCAUGUAGCUUUACUUUGUACAUAUAGUAAACAGUGUAGUUUUGCAUGUAGUAAACAGUGUCAGUGUCAUCAAAUGCAAAAACAUUAGAGGCUGUUUUGAAGAUCUUUAAACACUGUUGUAACUGAGCACUGAGUGUGAUGUGUCACAAACUGGAUUAACCCAGGGGGAUUUGAUGUGACCAAUGCAAGGGUGGAAAGUGAGUUAUUAUAUUCACACUGAUUCACAUUUCAUACCUGUAGUUUACUGAUCUAGAAUUUAUUUUUUUGCAUGUAUUUUGGGCCAGCUUGUGUUCAGUCUGUAAACAAAACCCUUUAAACAGAGAGGUGUUCAGAUUAUCCACAGACCCAGUUGUCAUACCAAAAGGUUAAUUUAUUGUUAUUGGUAAACACUUCAGCAAUGGAGCUAAAGACUUAAAAUCUGCACAUCCUUUUGUAUUUUUAAAAUGGACUAUUUAGUCCUUUAAAUAUGAGUAGUUGCUUAUUUGUUAAUUUUUAUGGUUUGGUUUUAUUUGUAUUUGUCUGUGUUUGUGUAGAAAAGCAUUUUGUUACAAAACAAGGAAGUACAAGAAAAGUACAAAUGUAUACGGUGUCUCACAAAUGUGGGUACACCGACAUUACAAUGUAAAUACACUUUCUUUUAUGUGUAUCUGUUUUAGCUAUAUUAUUGACUUGAUUUGUGUGUUGGCUCAUAUGUAUAAAAUGUGUUCCAAAGAGAAAA
Molecule: non-coding RNA, 964 nt
Organism: Electrophorus electricus (electric eel)
Lineage: Eukaryota; Metazoa; Chordata; Actinopteri; Gymnotiformes; Gymnotidae
Source: RefSeq, a predicted model, not a curated record